Molecule: non-coding RNA, 89 nt
Organism: Acanthosepion pharaonis
Lineage: Eukaryota; Metazoa; Mollusca; Cephalopoda; Sepiida; Sepiidae
Source: the annotation of a GenBank genome assembly
CGUUAAAACACCGGUUCACGUAAGUUCACUAAAGUUAAGCAAUUUCGAGCCUGGUUAGUACCUAGAUGGGUAACCGUUUGAGAAUAGCA